This 510-nucleotide ribosomal RNA is filed under the name uncultured bacterium. RNAcentral describes it as "bacterial SSU rRNA". It matches the Rfam family "Bacterial small subunit ribosomal RNA", at positions 777 to 1286 of the family's 1533-position model. The record is from RNAcentral.
AAUAGAUACCCCGGUAGUCCACGCCGUAAACGAUGGAGGCUAGCCGUUGGCGAGCAUGCUCGUCAGUGGCGCAGCUAACGCAUUAAGCCUCCCGCCUGGGGAGUACGGUCGCAAGAUUAAAACUCAAAGGAAUUGACGGGGGCCCGCACAAGCGGUGGAGCAUGUGGUUCAAUUCGAAGCAACGCGCAGAACCUUACCAGCCCUUGACAUGCCGGUCGCGGGCACCAGAGAUGGAGCCUUUCAGUUCGGCUGGACCGGACACAGGUGCUGCAUGGCUGUCGUCAGCUCGUAUCGUGAGAUGUUGGGUUAAGUCCCGCAACGAGCGCAACCCUGCCCUUAGUUGCCAUCAUUUAGUUGGGCACUCUAAGGGGACUGCCGGUGAUAAGCCGCGAGGAAGUGGGAUGACGUCAAGUCCUCAUGGCCCUUACGGGCUGGGCUACGACACGUGCUACAAUGGCGGUGACAGUGGGAUGCAAUGGAGUAAUCCGUGCGCAAAUCUCAAAAAGCCGU